This 253-nucleotide ribosomal RNA is filed under the name uncultured bacterium. Its description in RNAcentral is "partial 16S ribosomal RNA". It matches the Rfam family "Bacterial small subunit ribosomal RNA", at positions 524 to 776 of the family's 1533-position model. The record is from RNAcentral.
UACGUAGGUGGCAAGCGUUGUCCGGAUUUACUGGGUGUAAAGGGCGUGUAGCCGGGUUGACAAGUCAGAUGUGAAAUCCUGCGGCUUAACCGCAGAACCGCAUUUGAAACUGUUGAUCUUGAGUACUGGAGAGGCAGACGGAAUUCCUAGUGUAGCGGUGAAAUGCGUAGAUAUUAGGAGGAACACCAGUGGCGAAGGCGGUCUGCUGGACAGCAACUGACGUUGAGGCUCGAAAGCGUGGGGAGCAAACAGG